Molecule: ribosomal RNA, 469 nt
Filed under: uncultured bacterium
Lineage: Bacteria
Description: partial 16S ribosomal RNA
Rfam family: Bacterial small subunit ribosomal RNA
Source: RNAcentral
GACGAACGCUGGCGGCGUGCUUAACACAUACAAGUCGAACGAUGAAGCCUUAGCUUGCUUUGGUGGAUUAGUGGCGAACGGGUGAGUAACACGUGAGCAACGUGCCCAGGACUCUGGAAUAACCGCGGGAAACCGUGGCUAAUACCGGAUAGGUGCCGAGGCCGCAUGGUCUUCGGUUGGAAAGUUUUUGCGGUUCUGGAUCGGCUCACGGCCUAUCGGCUUGUUGGUGGGGUAAUGGCCUACCAAGGCGACGACGGGUAGCCGGCCUGAGAGGGUGACCGGCCACACUGGGACUGAGACACGGCCCAGACUCCUACGGGAGGCAGCAGUGGGGAAUAUUGCACAAUGGGCGCAAGCCUGAUGCAGCAACGCCGCGUGGGGGAUGACGGCCUUCGGGUUGUAAACCUCUUUUAGUAGGGAAGAAGCGCAAGUGACGGUACCUGCAGAAAAAGCACCGGCUAACUACGUG